Molecule: ribosomal RNA, 818 nt
Filed under: uncultured Actinomycetes bacterium
Lineage: Bacteria; Bacillati; Actinomycetota; Actinomycetes
Description: bacterial SSU rRNA
Rfam family: Bacterial small subunit ribosomal RNA
Source: RNAcentral
GGUAAGGUCCCCUUCGGGGGACACACGAGUGGCGAACGGGUGAGUAACACGUGGGCAACCUGCCCCUCACAUCGGGAUAACCACCGGAAACGGUGGCUAAUACCGGAUACUCCGGCGAGAUCGCAUGGUCUUGCCGGGAAAGCUCCGGCGGUGAGGGAUGGGCCCGCGGCCCAUUAGCUUGUUGGUGGGGUAAUGGCCUACCAAGGCGACGAUGGGUAGCCGAGCUGAGAGGCUGAUCGGCCACACUGGGACUGAGACACGGCCCAGACUCCUACGGGAGGCAGCAGUGGGGAAUCUUGCGCAAUGGGCGAAAGCCUGACGCAGCAACGCCGCGUGCGGGAUGAAGGCCUUCGGGUUGUAAACCGCUUUCAGCAGGGAUGAAACUGACAGUACCUGCAGAAGAAGCCCCGGCUAACUACGUGCCAGCAGCCGCGGUAAUACGUAGGGGGCGAGCGUUAUCCGGAUUCAUUGGGCGUAAAGCGCGCGUAGGCGGCUUGCUAAGUCAGAUGUGAAAACCGGGGGCUCAACCCGCGGCCUGCAUCUGAAACUGGCAGGCUUGAGUCUGGUAGAGGAAAGUGGAAUUCCUGGUGUAGCGGUGAUAUGCGCAGAUAUCAGGAGGAACACCAGUGGCGAAGGCGGCUUUCUGGGCCACGACUGACGCUGAGGCGCGAAAGCUAGGGGAGCAAACAGGAUUAGAUACCCUGGUAGUCCUAGCUGUAAACGAUGGGCACUAGGUGUGGGGGGUCAUCGACUCCCUCCGUGCCGCAGCUAACGCAUUAAGUGCCCCGCCUGGGGAGUACGGCCGCAAGGCUAAAACU